RNAcentral lists this ribosomal RNA (253 nucleotides) under uncultured bacterium. RNAcentral describes it as "partial 16S ribosomal RNA". It matches the Rfam family "Bacterial small subunit ribosomal RNA", at positions 524 to 776 of the family's 1533-position model. The record is from RNAcentral.
UACAGAGGGUGCGAGCGUUAAUCGGAAUUACUGGGCGUAAAGCGUGCGUAGACGGCUAUCUAAGUCGGGUGUGAAAGCCCCGGGCUCAACCUGGGAACUGCAUUUGUGACUGCAUCGCUGGAGUGCGGCAGAGGGGGAUGGAAUUCCGCGUGUAGCAGUGAAAUGCGUAGAUAUGCGGAGGAACACCGAUGGCGAAGGCAAUCCCCUGGGCCUGCACUGACGCUCAGGCACGAAAGCGUGGGGAGCAAACAGG